RNAcentral lists this transfer RNA (72 nucleotides) under Caudoviricetes sp. RNAcentral's name for it is "tRNA-Arg". It matches the Rfam family "tRNA". Rfam says of the family: Transfer RNA (tRNA) molecules are approximately 80 nucleotides in length. Their secondary structure includes four short double-helical elements and three loops (D, anti-codon, and T loops). Lineage: Duplodnaviria; Heunggongvirae; Uroviricota; Caudoviricetes. The record is from RNAcentral.
GUGGCUAUCGUCUAACGGAUAGGACAAGAAACUUCUAAUUUCUCGAUGGAAGUUCAAUUCUUCCUAGCCGCG